CCAAAGGGAGCAAAAAUGUUUAUUAUUAUUAUUAUAGGGUUUUGCCAAAUUGAACUAUGAACUCUAAACCCUAUCUUCCACCACCAUGAGCGACCGUGACCGCCACCGUGACAGAGAAAGAGACCGUAGACGAGACAAAGACGAUCGCGAUCGUGACAGAGACCGUGACCGUGACCGCGACCGUGACAGAGAUCGUGACCGCGACCGUGACAAGGAUCGCGACAGAGCACGCAGCAAGAGAUCCCGUACGCGUUCACCUGAGCGUGGACGCUCUCGCCACUCACGCUCCCGAUCUCCCGUCGACCGUUCCCACCGUCGACGCCACCACCGAACACCUUCCCCCGACCCUCCCAGAAAGCGUCACCGGCGAGACUCCGUCGAUGACGACCACAAAGAAACUAAGAAAGUGGUGUCUGAUUUCGUCGACGGAAUCGCCAAGGAACAACAAGAGAAGCAGAAAGAGAAUGGAGAAGAAGUUGAGAUGAAUGAAGACGAGAUUGAGAUGAUGAAGAUGAUGGGGAUUCCUACUGGUUUUGACUCCACCAAGGGAAAACCGGUACCUGGUGCUGAUGUCAGCGGCAUUAGAGCAGUCACUAAACGGCAACCGAGGCAGUAUAUGAACCGGCGUGGCGGCUUCAAUCGUCCAUUGCCUGCUGAGAAGAAUCGUUAGGUUUUGCAUCCUUCAUAAGAUUAUCAAUAUGAUUAACUGAAUGUCUUCAAUUGACUCAUUUUGUGUUGGAGCUAAAAUUUUAGGUAAUAUAUGUUUUGGUGGCGGUUCAAUCAUAGGGAAGCUUGGAGCCAGAAACAGUUGGUGGGAUAAAGAAGAAGGAUUGUAAGAGUUUCUCUUGUUUUUUUACACACUAAUUGUAUUGAAUUAAUGCCCUAUGCUACCUUCAGCUCACUGUCCCGUGUAAUUUUUUGGAUAGACAAAUGUCAGUGUUAGUUUGUAGGGUCUGUAAUUUGGAUCUUUUGGUUAGUACUUAUUUGAUGUCUCUUAACUCACCACCUUGAGAUCAAAUAUGUCCAGUGUAAGCAACUCUCAAGGUUCCUUUUUGAUUGUCGGUUUUUAACAAAAACAUUAUUCGUAUUUAUGCGCCAUUUGUCAAACUUACAAGGUUAUAUUAACUACCUUUUUGUUAAUUA
This is an RNA transcript of Trifolium pratense (red clover), 1143 nucleotides long. It is a transcript of the gene named U4/U6.U5 small nuclear ribonucleoprotein 27 kDa protein, with no coding region annotated. The transcript has 3 exons. The record is from RefSeq and is a predicted model, not a curated record. Lineage: Eukaryota; Viridiplantae; Streptophyta; Magnoliopsida; Fabales; Fabaceae.